ACUUCUCUAGCAUUAUAUGUCUCAUAUUUGAGUGAUUGACGAACAGAUGUGUUACAUGUAGGAAAAAAGAAACAGAAAAAUGGAAGAACCACCAUUUAAUGGUGAUUCUGGAGUUAGGUUCUCUAUAUUUGGUUAUUCAAUCGAGAAACAUUUUAGGGUAAUGGAUACAAUCUCUAGAUUUGUGAAGAACCCAAGAUUGAUGGUCUCGAUGAAACUGAUAUCCGGAGAUUCUCUUCUUCAAUCACUUUCUUAAGGGAAUGGAGGCAUUUUAAUUAUGAACCGAGGAUCAUUGGGUUUGCUAGCGAACUAGGAGACUCACCGGGUAAAGAUGUUUCUGGUGGCAUAAACUUGCCUCAGUUUUCAUCAGCAACUGUUCCCAAGCAGGAAGGACUACGAGUAAGUAAUGCAUCUCCAGAA
Non-coding RNA from Durio zibethinus, 417 nucleotides. The record is from RefSeq and is a predicted model, not a curated record. Lineage: Eukaryota; Viridiplantae; Streptophyta; Magnoliopsida; Malvales; Malvaceae.